Molecule: non-coding RNA, 72 nt
Organism: Myotis brandtii (Brandt's bat)
Lineage: Eukaryota; Metazoa; Chordata; Mammalia; Chiroptera; Vespertilionidae
Source: Rfam
CUUGGGGGGGCGGGGCCUCAGCCUGGAUUGCAAGAGGGUGUAGGCCAGGCCGAUUGACCCCACCAGUGCAGG